Molecule: long non-coding RNA, 509 nt
Organism: Triticum dicoccoides
Lineage: Eukaryota; Viridiplantae; Streptophyta; Magnoliopsida; Poales; Poaceae
Exons: 2
Source: RefSeq, a predicted model, not a curated record
UUCCUGGCGUCCGGCGAGGCGCGGUGGCGGCGACUCCGGCGAGGCUUGGCCUCCGCGAGGUGCUCGAUCCCUUCUUCCUGGCGUCCGGCGAGGUGCUGGUUUGCCAGGAGCUGAGCCGCAAUACUGAGCAGAGCAGAGAGAUCUUACAGGAAGGCAAGAUGAGUAACCGAAACAAGACAUUCAAUUCAUUUUUUCAAGUUCAUUAAGCGAUUUUAAGGUUAUCGCAAUCGCAGAUGCCUUUUGCCUUGUCCUAGACGUAAGUUCUCAAAUUUUGCAUCUAUCAUUAACUCCUUUUACCUGCUAUAUUAUGCACUGAUUUGCAUUUCAAAAAUUAUAUUCAAGGUUUAGCAUCUUCUGCUAUUGAAGAUAUAGGCAUGGGAGGCUCAGAUCAACCAAUCCAUUGAUUUUGUAUCAAUCUUUUGUAUCAUUUAUAUACGCUACAUAUUUCUUUUGAUUUUUCUUGCUUUAUUAGUUAACCCAUCAUGGAAUAAUAUUGCCGUUGAAUAUUA